RNAcentral lists this ribosomal RNA (478 nucleotides) under uncultured bacterium. RNAcentral's name for it is "partial 16S ribosomal RNA". It matches the Rfam family "Bacterial small subunit ribosomal RNA", at positions 28 to 523 of the family's 1533-position model. The record is from RNAcentral.
GACGAACGCUGGCGGCGUGCUUAACACAUGCAAGUCGAACGGAAAGGCCCUUCGGGGUACACGAGUGGCGAACGGGUGAGUAACACGUGGGUGAUCUGCCCUGCACUUCGGGAUAAGCCUGGGAAACUGGGUCUAAUACCGGAUAGGACCACUGCCUGCAUGGGUGGUGGUGGAAAGCUUUUGCGGUGUGGGAUGGGCCCGCGGCCUAUCAGCUUGUUGGUGGGGUGAUGGCCUACCAAGGCGACGACGGGUAGCCGGCCUGAGAGGGUGACCGGCAACACUGGGAAUGAGAUACGGACCAGACUCCUACGGGAGGCAGCAGUGGGGAAUAUUGCACAAUGGGCGCAAGCCUGAUGCAGCGACGCCGCGUGAGGGAUGACGGCCUUCGGGUUGUAAACCUCUUUCAGCACCGACGAAGCGCAAGUGACGGUAGGUGCAGAAGAAGGACCGGCCAACUACGUGCCAGCAGCCGCCGUAA